This 466-nucleotide ribosomal RNA is filed under the name uncultured bacterium. RNAcentral's name for it is "partial 16S ribosomal RNA". It matches the Rfam family "Bacterial small subunit ribosomal RNA", at positions 28 to 507 of the family's 1533-position model. The record is from RNAcentral.
GACGAACGCUGGCGGCGGGCUUAACACAUGCAAGUCGAACGGAAAGGCCCUGCUUUUGUGGGGUGCUCGAGUGGCGAACGGGUGAGUAACACGUGAGUAACCUGCCCUUGACUUUGGGAUAACGUCAUGAAACUGGGGCUAAUACCGGAUAGGAGCUCCUGCUGCAUGGUGGGGGUUGGAAAGUUUCGGCGGUUGGGGAGGGACUCGCGGCUUAUCAGCUUGUUGGUGGGGUAGUUGUUGACCACGGCUUUGACGGGUCGCCGCCGUGAGGGGGACCGGCCACAUUGGGACUGAGAUACGGCCCAGACUCCUACGGGAGGCAGCAGUGGGGAAUAUUGCACAAUGGGCUGAAGCCUGAUGCAGCAACGCCGCGUGCGGGAUGACGGCCUUCGGGUUGUAAACCGCUUUCGCCUGUGACGAAGCGUGAGUGACGGUAAUGGGUAAAGAAGCACCGGCUAACUACGUG